Dermacentor albipictus is the source of this 1330-nucleotide long non-coding RNA. RefSeq lists it as uncharacterized. NCBI's taxonomy places the organism in Eukaryota, Metazoa, Arthropoda, Arachnida, Ixodida, Ixodidae. The record is from RefSeq and is a predicted model, not a curated record.
CCUCAAUCCAGGAAUCCACUGGCCUUAGCUGCCCUUCUCGCUUGGUUGACCAUGCUGAGAUUUCAUCGGCGCUGUGUUUACUGCGAUGGAAUCUCACCGCUGGGUCAUGAGUGCAUGAAAUGAAAGACGGCUCACUUGCCUACCCUUGCCUUGAAACAAUUUCUCUCUGCUCCGUCCAAAUCUGAGGCCGAAGGACGCUCUCUGCAAGUGCCCCAGAGUAGGCCGCACCGUUUUUGCUUCUGAGUCCUGCCGCCUUCAAAGAGCUGACAACACUAACGUUUGUUGGAGCGAUUGAGCCAUCAAGGUCGAAGAUAAACGGCCACGUUUGCCGGAGUUGGUGUGUUGCUUACUCUGCCCAUGCUUGCAAGCUCACAUAAACUCCCAACCGGACAAGCGCAAGUUUGCAGAAGCAAUCCGGAGUGAAGAACUCGCUCCCCAACUCUGGGCUUUCCAGCAGGUCCACGAUGACGCCAGGAAACUCAACCUCCCGGUUCCGUCGUGGGAGAAGCCCACUCCAUGAGAGCCCAAAACUCUCGUGGCCUGCAGGACCUUGAAUAAAGUUGAUUUCCUUCCUUCCUUCCAUCGUCGACUCGAAAAAGUGGAUGUCGCUCAACAAACAGCUGUCAGAUCGUACGGGCCUUAACAUCGCCAAGAAGGAUGGGCCCCUGACACCUUAUUUCUAGGACUGCCUGUCUAAGAAUGUUGCGGCUUCGUGUGGCGCUUGCCAAGUCAUACUCGUUCGUACAUGGAUGCGUCGACAAUCCUACCAGUGACAUUUGCGGCUGUGAAGAAACAAUCCCGCAUCUUCUGUGCAUCUGCCUACGUUACAAUGCGGAGAAGCAGGUGCUGGGUACUACGUUAAAGACACUGGACAGCUAGCCACUGUCACAGCAAAAAAUACGUGGAGAGUUGUCAAAAUGAACGUUUGCGCUAAAGGCAGCCAGAACUUCCUGCUGUCUGCGAGAAAGGCUAUGAUUCGUGAUUAGUGUCAAUUCAAUUUUGUGCUCUGAUUCCUUUUUCCAUAAUCGCAUUUCUUCCUUUGUAUCUUUUUAAACCACUUCUCCCUAUCCUCCGUGCCGGGUGAAAAAAUGACACUUUACCUGGUUAACAUUCCAGCACUUGCUUUUUUUUAUUUCUCUUUCUAAGUGUGCUGAAUUGAUAUUUCUCACUGUCGUGAGCUAUCAAAGUUGACACAACAAAAUGGCGUGGGUUAAUCAUGUCUACAUCGAGUUGAGCUACAGCAACAUGCGCACCUCAAAUUUCAAAACAACCAGGUGACUCAGGUUGUUAUUUUAAGCGAAUUUCAAAGUUGUUCGUCACUCAUGACUGA